AGGGACCCCGAGGGAGGGCAGG
Molecule: microRNA, 22 nt
Filed under: Cricetulus griseus (Chinese hamster)
Lineage: Eukaryota; Metazoa; Chordata; Mammalia; Rodentia; Cricetidae
Also listed under: 2 other names
Description: cgr-miR-3072-5p
Source: miRBase by way of RNAcentral